Poecilia reticulata (guppy) is the source of this 1984-nucleotide RNA transcript. RefSeq lists it as uncharacterized. The record is from RefSeq and is a predicted model, not a curated record. Lineage: Eukaryota; Metazoa; Chordata; Actinopteri; Cyprinodontiformes; Poeciliidae.
UCCACUGUUACCGCACGGAUCCUCAACUUAUUUUUCUUUAAACCAAUUUAAAUUUGUGGCGUUUAAAUUUUUGGAAAGUCUUUCUGUUAAAGGGAAGUUUUUCCUUCACUGUCACUACAUGAAUCCUCAGUAUGAGGAUUUAGCUGACUUUGCUUUAGUUUUAGUUGGCUUUUAACAAAUUUAAACAACUGGUGCACUGUUAGGUUUUUCUUUGGAAAAUCUUCCUGUUAAAGGGAAGUUUUUUUUUCCUCCACUGCCACCCCAUGGAUCCUUAUUGAGCUUAUUUUUCUUUCAACCAAUGUAAAUAAUUUAAUUGGUGCAGUGUUCAUUUUUGGAAAGUCUUCCUGUUAAAGGGAAGUGUUUUCCUCCACUGUUAUCGCAUGGAUCCACAGCAUAUCUAUGCUGAUUGAGAAUAGUUUUGAGCUCAUGGUUGGGGAAUUUAAGGCCUUAUCAACACCACAUUGCAUACGGACUGAGAAGAUAUGGAAACUGAUCAACCGUGUUUGUUGAGAUGGAGACUCUGAAGACAUGCUAUGGCCUCAAACAUUUGGGUAAUGUGGAUAUCAACAUGAUCCCCAUGGUACUGGACUUGGAACUCAACAGUAUGAAAUGUGGCUUUCUUCUUCCUGUAGCCACUCCUAAGGGAUUUGAAGUCAUCGGAUGAGUUCAAGGAAAUUAAUAACAAGUGUAACGAAGCAGUCAAUCCAUUACACGCAGGAAAAACUUGCAAAAAUGGUAUGUGAAAGGUAUGUGUUCUGAUCAUGGGUAUGGUAACUGGAAUGGAUUUUGGAUUCACUCGACACAGGAAAAACACGGAAGGCCAUAUGAAAUGUAUGUGUUCUGAAUUUGGGUACAGCAAUCAGAACAGAUUUUGAAGACGCAGGAAAAACACGGUAGGCUAUAUGAAAUGCACAUGUUCUGAUUUUGGGUACAGCAAGCAGAACAGAUCUUGGAGACGCAGGAAAAACACGGUAGGCUAUAUGAAAUGCACGUGUUCUGAUUUUGGGUACAGCAAUCAGAACAGAUCUUGGAGACGCAGGAAAAACACGGGAGGCCAUAUGAAAUGUAUGUGUUCUGAUUUUGGGUACAGCAAUCAACAGAUCUUGGAGACGCAGGAAAAAUGCGGUAGGCUAUAUAAAAUGUAUGUGUUGUGAUCUUGGGUACUGUUUGAAAUGCGUGUUGUAAGUUAUAAAUGCAUGUGUAGAAUCCAUUAUCUCUAAAGAUGACGCCCCCGACUACACCUGAGAACGACGGAUGGAAAAUGCCAUCAUUGAUCAACAGAAAAGGCCUCCUUCGCACCCUUGACCUUAGUGGCCCUACCACUGAGAUCAGUAGCCUUUCUCAAGGAAUGCUGAAUCCUCCUGGACUAUCUCAUUUUCAUCUGAUUUCGCACUUAAUCGCCCCUCCAUCGACCAACGGAAAAGUUCUUCAUCAUCCCUUUGAACAUCGGACGGAAGAGGACUUCAUCGGCCCCCCACCUAUUGAUGGAUGACCUUAGUGACCCUACCAUCGGGCUGAGCAGUCUUCCUCGAGAAAUGCUGCAGGAAUCCUCCUGGUUCAUCUCAUUAACGCCCUUCAUCGCCCCUCCAUCGACCGACGGAAAAGUUCUUCAUCAUCCCUUUGCACAUCGAACGGAAGAGGAUUUCAUCGCCCACCCAUUGAUGGAUGACCUCAGUGACCCUUCCAUCGGGCUCUGCAGGUUUUCUGGAGGAUACCCUGUAAGUGUUCCCAUGUAAGCAGGAAUCAUCCUGGAUUAUCUUGUUUACGUCUGAUUUUGGCAUUCAUCGCCAGGCCCAAACCACAGAUUGAAGGACAAUUUUAUUUACGGACUCUUUACGGACUUGAUUUUAUUUGUUGUUUUUUUAUUAGAUAUUUAAAAAUGUCUUCCAGUGUGUUAAAUGUUAGUUACAAUUGAUUGUUUUGAUCUGUUGGAAUAUAUUUUUGCAUUUUUAUGUACCACAUUAUUUAUUUCAACUAUUGUUCU